This 45-nucleotide ribosomal RNA is filed under the name Astragalus vegetus. Its description in RNAcentral is "partial 26S ribosomal RNA". Lineage: Eukaryota; Viridiplantae; Streptophyta; Magnoliopsida; Fabales; Fabaceae. The record is from RNAcentral.
GAGACCUCAGGUCAGGCGGGGCUACCCGCUGAAUUUAAGCAUAUU